Long non-coding RNA from Dama dama (fallow deer), 4211 nucleotides. RefSeq lists it as uncharacterized. The record is from RefSeq and is a predicted model, not a curated record. The transcript is spliced from 4 exons. Lineage: Eukaryota; Metazoa; Chordata; Mammalia; Artiodactyla; Cervidae.
AGAUCACAUGAGGCUGGAGAAAGACAAAGGAAAAUCCUUGUCCCACGGGGAAGAGGAAGACAACCAUCCUGGAACCAAUGGAGUCUCCUACUGCUGAGAGGGUUCAGGGUCAUGAGGAAGCCCCACCCCUCAAAUGUGUCGCUGCCAGCCGACCGCUUCUGGUGAGAAACUUGAGUUGUGAAAAGUCCUAUAAGGUUUCCAAAGUCUCACAGUGCCAGGUGUAAUCAGGAUUCUGCAGACAACUGCAGCUUCGGGAAGGUGACAUGAAGAUGACCCAGUGAGCUCUUCCUGUAGAGUCUACACCUCCCAGACCACAUCCAGCUCAGCUUCCCACAGACUUCCCAAGCAGAGAGAAGGAACUGUUGCAAAGUCACGGACAAUUCUUUGCCACCCCACUGACUGCAGUCCACCAGGCUCCUCUGUCCAUGGGAUAACCAGGUAAAUACCCAGGACUGUAAUUCCUGGAUCACAUGACGGUGUCAUUUUAAAUUAUCUGAGGAACCUCCAGACUGGUUUCAAUGGUGGCGGCACCAAUUUACACUGUCAUCAACAGUGCAGAAUGGUUCCCUUUCCUCCACAUCUCUGCCAACACUUGUUAUUUGUAGUCGUUUUGGAAACAGCCAUUCUGACAGGUGUGAGGUGGUAUCUCAUUAUGGUUUUGAUUUGCACUUCCUUGAUGAUUAGUGAUGUUGAGCAUCUUUCUAAAAAAUAUAUCUAUUUAUUUUUAAUUGAUUGAUGAUCGGUUUACAACAUUGGUUUGAUUUCAAUCAUACAUCAACAUGAAUUAGCCAAAGGUGUACAAAUAUCCCCUGAUGUUGAGCAUCUUUUCAUAUGUCAUCUUUGGAAAAAUGUGUAUCAGAUCCUCUCCAAUUUUUAUAACAACUUGCUUGCUUUUUUGAUGUUGACUUGAAUGAGGUAUUUAUAUAUUUUAGAUAUUAACAACUUAUCAUGUAUAUUAUUUGGAAAUACCUUCUCCCAUUCAGUAAAAUUAUUCAUCCUAGUUCUGUGAAAAAGGCCAUUGGUAUUUUGAUAAGGAUUGCCCUGAAUCUGUAGAUUGCCUUUAACAAUAUUAACUCUUUCAAUCCACAGACAAAGUAUAUCUUUCCAACUCUGUGUGUUGUCUUCAGUUUGGUUCAUCAGUAUCUUACAGUUUCCCAAGCACAGGUCUUUUGCCUCCUUAGGUAGGUUUAUUCUGAGGUAUUCUGUUCUCCAUGAUGUGGCUGUAAAUGGGAUUAUUUUCUUAAUUUUUCUGAUAGUUCAUUGUUAGUGUAUUCAGAUGCAAAGAUUUCUGUUUAUUGAUUUUUGUAUCCUACAACAUACUCAAAUUCAUUGAUGAAUUCUAAUAGUUUUCUGGUGGCAUCUUUAGGAUUUUCUAUGUAGUAUUAUAUAUCAUCUGCAAAUAGUGAGUUAGGACCUAACAGAGGCAGAAGAUAUUAAGAAGAGGUGGCAAGAAUACACAGAAGAACUCUACAAAAAUUGUCUUAAUGACCAGGAUAACCAUGAUAGUGUGGCCACUCACCUAGAGUCAGAUAUCCUGGAAUGUGAAGUUAAGUGGCCAUAGGAAGCACUGCUACAAAUAAAGCUAGUGGAGGUGAUGGAAUUCCAGCUGAGCUCUUUAAAAUUCUUAAAGAUGAUGUUAAAUUGCUGCACUCACUAUGUCAGCAAAUUUGGGAAACUCAGCAGUGGACGCAGGACUGGAAAAGGUCAGUUUUCAUUCCAAUCCCAGAGAAGGGCAGUGCCAAAUAAUGUUCAAACUAUUGGACAAUUACACUCAUUUAGCAGGCAAGUAACGUUAUGCUCAUGGGGUUGCAGAGUCAGACACGACUGAGCGACUGAACUGAACUGAACUGAAGGUAAUGCUCAAAAUCCUUCAAGCCAGGUUUCAGUAGUACAUGAACAGAGAACUUCCAGAUGUACAAGCUGGGUUUAGAAAAGUCAGGGGGAUCAGAGAUCAACUUGCCAACAUUCACUGGAUCAUAGAAAAAACAAGGGAAUUCCAGAAAAACAUCUAUUUCUCCUUCAUUGACUACAUUAAAGCCUUUGACUGUGUGGAUCACAAUCAACUGUGGAAUAUUCUUAAAGAGAUGGAAAUACCAAACCACCUUUCCUGACUCCUGAGAAACCUGUAUGCAGGUCAAGAAGCAACAGUUACAACUGGACACAGAAAAAGGGGUUGGUUUAAAAUUGGGAAAGGACUACGAUAAGGCUAUAUAUUGUUACUCUAGUUUAUUUAACUUAUAUGUGGAGUAUAGCAUGCAAAAUGCUGGGCAGGAUGAAGCACAGGCUGGAUCAAGAUUACCAGGAGAAAUAUCAACAACCUCAGAUAUGCAGAUGAUUCCACUCUAAUGGCAGACAAUGAAGAGGAACUAAAGAGCCUCCUGAUGAGGGUGAAAAGAGGAGUGAAAAAGCUGGCUUAAAACUUAGCAUUCAAAAAACUAAGACCAUGGUACCUGGUCCCAUCACUUCACUGCAAACAGAAAGGGAAAAAGUAGAAUCAGUAACAGAUUUUAUUUCCCUGGGCUCCAAAAUAGUGACUGCAGAUAGUGAAUGCAGCCAUGAAAUUAAAAGACGCUUGCUCCUUGGAAGAAAAGCUAUGACAAACAGAGAGAGUGUAUUAAAAAGCAAAGAUAUCACUUUGCUGACAGAGGUCUGUAUAGUCAAAGCUAUGGUUUUUCCAGUAGUCAGGCACGGAUGUGAGAGUUGGACCAUAAAGAAGGCUGAGUGCCAAAGAACUGAUGCUUAUGCUUUCUAACUGUAUUGCUGGAGAAGACUCUUGAGAGUCCCUUGGACACCAAGGAGAUCAAAUCAGUCAACCCUAAAGGCAAUUGACCCUGAAUAUUCCACUGGAGGACUGAAGCUGCAGCUCCAAUACUUUGGCCAUGUGAUGCAAAGACCUGACUCAUUGGAAAAGACCCUGCUGCUGGGGAAGACUGAAGACCAAAGGAGAAGAGGGAGGCAGAGGAUUAGACGGUUAGAUAGCAUCACCGACUCAAUGGGCACAAGCCUGAACAAACUCCAGAAGAAAGUGAAAGACAGGUAAGCCUGGCAUGCUGCAAUCCAUGGGGUCGCAAAGAGCUGGACACGACUUAGUGACUAAACAACAAUAAUAAUCACUGACACAGUUUCAUUACUGGUAAUUGAUUUGUACAUAUUUUCUGUUUCUUUCUGGUUCAGUCGUGGGAAACAAUACAUUUCUAGGAAUUUGUCCAUUUCUUCUAGGUUGUCUGCUUUGUUGGCAAAUAAUUGAUCAUAGAUAAUGUGAUUUUAAACAUUGAAAACAUUUAUAUUUUUGAAGUGAUCUUGUAAAUAAUCAAUAAAACUAAAGAUAUUUAAUAAACACCUAAUAACGCAUGGCUGCCUACUUUCUAAUCCACAGAUAACUGUCAUAUUUUAAUAAAAUAUUUCAUUUAGGAUUUAUAUUCUAACUGCCAGAGAAAAGUGAGAAUAUUACUAUUCAUGAUCAAGUAUCAAACACUUAUUACUAGAUAAUUAAGGGAAAUAAUCCAGCACAACAGAUACGCUAAAAAUACGUCUUUGUUUACAUGAAUAAGAGACCCACUACGAGGACACCAGUGAAUGUAAAAUUUUCAGUGGAAGAAGCCUCUUACUGUUGAUUUAGUUUUUAUAAGUUAUGCAAGUGAAAAAUGGAGUCUUGUAUUUUUGUUUAAAUGUUUUUCUAUAUAUACUAAUGUCAAUCACAAGGACAGAUACACUCCUCUCUGUACUGUCAAGUAGAACUGUUUCAUUCCCUCGAAAUUCUUAUAAAUUCAAGUUUAAUCAAUCAAAUGGUCAGAAAAUAUUCAAGACCUUCAAAACAGCCUGUUCUGAGCAAAUAACUUAAGAUAUCACUAUGUCAGUGUCUCCAGCUUGUUAUAUACAUGUGAUCUAUUUAUUCGACUGCCUUGGGUCCCAGUGGCGACAUACAGGAUCUUCACUGCAUCAUGGGGGCUUAACUGCUCUUUGCCAUAUGGGAUCUCAGCACCCUGCCCAGGGACUGAAGCCGUGUCCCUUGUAUUGUGAGGUGGAGUCUUAUCCACUGGACCACCACACAAGUCUCUUAUUUGUUUUAUUUUAGCAUUUAACAUAGGGUUACUAUAACAAUUAUUAUAGUGAGUUUACUUUAAGAAAAAUUUUGGAGCCCGUUUCCUGAAUCAGUUGAAUUAGACAAUGAUGAAUUUCAAAUGUUCUCUAGAAUAUUAAUAAUAAAAAUU